This 500-nucleotide ribosomal RNA is filed under the name uncultured bacterium. RNAcentral describes it as "partial 16S ribosomal RNA". It matches the Rfam family "Bacterial small subunit ribosomal RNA", at positions 28 to 507 of the family's 1533-position model. The record is from RNAcentral.
GACGAACGCUGGCGGCGUGCCUAAUACAUGCAAGUCGAGCGGACUGAUUAAGAGCUUGCUCUUAUGACGUUAGCGGCGGACGGGUGAGUAACACGUGGGCAACCUGCCCUGUAGAUCGGGAUAACACCGAGAAAUCGGUGCUAAUACCGGGUAAUAUCUGAGAUCACAUGAUCUUAGGUUAAAAGAUGGCUCCGGCUAUCACUACAGGAUGGGCCCGCGGCGCAUUAGCUAGUUGGUAAGGUAAUGGCUUACCAAGGCGACGAUGCGUAGCCGACCUGAGAGGGUGAUCGGCCACACUGGGACUGAGACACGGCCCAGACUCCUACGGGAGGCAGCAGUAGGGAAUCUUCCGCAAUGGACGAAAGUCUGACGGAGCAACGCCGCGUGAGUGAUGAAGGGGUUCGGCUCGUAAAGCUCUGUUGUUAGGGAAGAAACAGUACCGAACGAACCAGGUCGGUACCUUGACGGUACCUAACCAGAAAGCCACGGCUAACUACGUG